Molecule: ribosomal RNA, 253 nt
Filed under: uncultured bacterium
Lineage: Bacteria
Description: partial 16S ribosomal RNA
Rfam family: Bacterial small subunit ribosomal RNA
Source: RNAcentral
GACGUAGGGCGCGAGCGUUGUCCGGAUUUAUUGGGCGUAAAGAGCUCGUAGGCGGCUUGUCGCGUCGUCCGUGAAAACCUGCAGCUCAACUGCAGGCUUGCGGUCGAUACGGGCAGGCUCGAGUUCGGUAGGGGAGACUGGAAUUCGUGGUGUAGCGGUGAAAUGCGCAGAUAUCAGGAGGAACACCGGUGGCGAAGGCGGGUCUCUGGGCCGAUACUGACGCUGAGGAGCGAAAGCGUGGGGAGCGAACAGG